CUGGGCUAGAAUGCCUCUGACAACCCUAGAGAUAGGGCUUCCUAGGGAAACCUAGGCAGAGUGCAAGGUGCUGCAUGGCUGUCGUCAGCUCGUGUCGUGAGAUGUUGGGUUAAGUCCCGCAACGAGCGCAACCCUUAUCGAUAGUUACUAGCGGUUCGGCCGAGCACUCUAUUGAGACUGCCGUUGACAAAACGGAGGAAGGUGGGGAUGACGUCAAGUCCUCAUGGCCUUUAUGUCCAGGGCUACACACGUGCUACAAUGGCAAGUACAAAGCGCUGCAAACUCGCGAGAGGGAGCCAAUCGCAAAAAGCUUGUCUCAGUUCGGAUUGCAGGCUGCAACUCGCCUGCAUGAAGUCGGAAUUGCUAGUAAUCGCGGAUCAGCAUGCCGCGGUGAAUACGUUCCC
Molecule: ribosomal RNA, 404 nt
Filed under: uncultured bacterium
Lineage: Bacteria
Description: bacterial SSU rRNA
Rfam family: Bacterial small subunit ribosomal RNA
Source: RNAcentral